RNAcentral lists this ribosomal RNA (497 nucleotides) under uncultured bacterium. RNAcentral's name for it is "partial 16S ribosomal RNA". It matches the Rfam family "Bacterial small subunit ribosomal RNA", at positions 28 to 507 of the family's 1533-position model. The record is from RNAcentral.
GAUGAACGCUGGCGGCGUGCCUAAUACAUGCAAGUCGAGCGAACAGACGAGGAGCUUGCUCCUCUGACGUUAGCGGCGGACGGGUGAGUAACACGUGGAUAACCUACCUAUAAGACUGGGAUAACUUCGGGAAACCGGAGCUAAUACCGGAUAAUAUCUUGAACCGCAUGGUUCAAUAGUGAAAGACGGUUUUGCUGUCACUUAUAGAUGGAUCUGCGCCGCAUUAGCUAGUUGGUAAGGUAACGGCUUACCAAGGCAACGAUGCGUAGCCGACCUGAGAGGGUGAUCGGCCACACUGGAACUUAGACACGGUCCAGACUCCUACGGGAGGCAGCAGUAGGGAAUCUUCCGCAAUGGGCGAAAGCCUGACGGAGCAACGCCGCGUGAGUGAUGAAGGUCUUCGGAGCGUAAAACUCUGUUAUUAGGGAAGAACAAAUGUGUAAGUAACUAUGCACGUCUUGACGGUACCUAAUCAGAAAGCCACGGCUAACUACGUG